UGGAGCAUGUGGUUUAAUCGACGCAACGCGAAGAACCUUACCAGGUCUUGACAUCCCGAUGCUAUUUCUAGAGAUAGAAAGUACUUCGGUACAUCGGUGACAGGUGGUGCAUGGUUGUCGUCAGCUCGUGUCGUGAGAUGUUGGGUUAAGUCCCGCAACGAGCGCAACCCCUAUUGUUAGUUGCCAUCAUUCAGUUGGGCACUCUAGCGAGACUGCCGGUAAUAAACCGGAGGAAGGUGGGGAUGACGUCAAAUCAUCAUGCCCCUUAUGACCUGGGCUACACACGUGCUACAAUGGUUGGUACAACGAGUUGCGAGUCGGUGACGGCGAGCUAAUCUCUUAAAGCCAAUCUCAGUUCGGAUUGUAGGCUGCAACUCGCCUACAUGAAGUCGGAAUCGCUAGUAAUCGCGGAUCAGCACGCCCGCGGUCGAAUACGUUCCCGGGCCUU
This 448-nucleotide ribosomal RNA is filed under the name uncultured Streptococcus sp. RNAcentral's name for it is "bacterial SSU rRNA". It matches the Rfam family "Bacterial small subunit ribosomal RNA", at positions 933 to 1382 of the family's 1533-position model. Lineage: Bacteria; Bacillati; Bacillota; Bacilli; Lactobacillales; Streptococcaceae. The record is from RNAcentral.